AAGUCGUAACAAGGUCUCCGUAGGUGAACCUGCGGAGGGAUCAUUACUGAGUGAGGGCCCUCGUGGUCCGACCUCCAACCCACUGUUGUCCGACUCUGUUGCCUCGGGGGCGACCCGGCGCAUCGGCGCCAGGGGUCCCCGCUGGUCCACACAACUCUGCAUCUUUGCGUCUGAGUAAACAUUAAAUGAAACAAAACUUUCAACAACGGAUCUCUUGGUUCUG
Molecule: unclassified non-coding RNA, 223 nt
Filed under: fungal sp.
Lineage: Eukaryota; Fungi
Description: partial internal transcribed spacer region
Rfam family: Eukaryotic small subunit ribosomal RNA (bases 1-46)
Source: RNAcentral